Molecule: ribosomal RNA, 443 nt
Filed under: uncultured bacterium
Lineage: Bacteria
Description: partial 16S ribosomal RNA
Rfam family: Bacterial small subunit ribosomal RNA
Source: RNAcentral
CCUACGGGGUGCAGCAGUGGGGAAUAUUGGGCAAUGGGCGCAAGCCUGACCCAGCAACGCCGCGUGAAGGAAGAAGGCUUUCUGGUUGUAAACUUCUUUUCUCAGGGACGAAGCAAGUGACGGUACCUGAGGACUAAGCCACGGCUAACUACGUGCCAGCAGCCGCGGGAAUACGUAGGUGGCAAGCGUUAUCCGGAUUUACUGGGUGUAAAGGGCGUGUAGGCGGGGACGCAAGUCAGAUGUGAAAACCACGGGCUCAACCUGUGGCCUGCAUUUGAAACUGUGUGUCUUGAGUACUGGAGAGGCAGACGGAAUGCCUAGUGUAGCGGUGAAAUGCGUAGAUAUUAGGAGGAACACCAGUGGCGAAGGCGGUCUGCUGGACAGCAACUGACGCUGAGGCGCGAAAGCGUGGGGAGCAAACAGGAUUAGAUACCCCAGUAGUC